Dermochelys coriacea (leatherback sea turtle) is the source of this 214-nucleotide long non-coding RNA. RefSeq lists it as uncharacterized. NCBI's taxonomy places the organism in Eukaryota, Metazoa, Chordata, Testudines, Dermochelyidae. The transcript has 3 exons. The record is from RefSeq and is a predicted model, not a curated record.
ACAGAAUAGGAGACAUACAAUUCUCCCCCAAGGAGUUCAGUCACAAAUUUAAUCAAUGCAUUAUUUUUUUAAUGAGCAUCAUCAGCAUGGAAGCAUGUCCUCUGGAAUGGUGGCCGAAGCAUGAAGCGGCAUACAAAUGUUUGGCAUAUCUGGAUAGUAAAUACCUUGGAACACCGGAUACAAAAGAGCCAUCCAGGUGCCUGUUCUCACUUUG